AGCAGCCGCGGUAAUUCCAGCUCCAAUAGCGUAUAUUAAAGUUGUUGCAGUUAAAAAGCUCGUAGUUGAAUUUCGGGACCAUCAUGUUGGUCGUGCCUCGGUACGUACUGGCAUUGUUGGUUUCUCCCUUCUGACGAACCAUGAUGUCAUUUAUUUGGUGUCGUGGGAAAUCAGGACUGUUACUUUGAAAAAAUUAGAGUGUUUAAAGCAGGCUCACGCUUGAAUACAUUAGCAUGGAAUAAUGAAAUAGGACGUUUGAUUCUAUUUUGUUGGUUUCUAGGAUCGACGUAAUGAUUAAUAGGGAUAGUUGGGGGCAUUAGUAUUCAAUUGUCAGAGGUGAAAUUCUUGGAUUUAUUGAAGACUAACUACUGCGAAGGCAUUUGCCAAGGAUGUUUUCAUUAAUCAAGAACGAAAGUUAGGGGAUCGAAGACGAUCAGAUACCGUCGUAGUCUUAACCAUAAACUAUGCCGACUAGGGAUCGGAUGAUGUUAAUUUUUUAAUGACUCAUUCGGCGCCUUAC
Molecule: ribosomal RNA, 520 nt
Filed under: uncultured Glomus
Lineage: Eukaryota; Fungi; Glomeromycota; Glomeromycetes; Glomerales; Glomeraceae
Description: SSU rRNA
Rfam family: Eukaryotic small subunit ribosomal RNA
Source: RNAcentral